AGUCUUGAGGUGUUUAAACAUAUUAGAUUGCAAAUCUAAGGUAGCAGGUUAGAUCCGGCCGAGACUU
Molecule: transfer RNA, 67 nt
Filed under: Samariscus latus (deep-body righteye flounder)
Lineage: Eukaryota; Metazoa; Chordata; Actinopteri; Pleuronectiformes; Samaridae
Description: tRNA-Cys
Rfam family: tRNA
About the family: Transfer RNA (tRNA) molecules are approximately 80 nucleotides in length. Their secondary structure includes four short double-helical elements and three loops (D, anti-codon, and T loops).
Source: RNAcentral